RNAcentral lists this ribosomal RNA (525 nucleotides) under uncultured bacterium. RNAcentral describes it as "bacterial SSU rRNA". It matches the Rfam family "Bacterial small subunit ribosomal RNA", at positions 984 to 1509 of the family's 1533-position model. The record is from RNAcentral.
ACAUCCAGAGAACUUAGCAGAGAUGCUUUGGUGCCUUCGGGAACUCUGAGACAGGUGCUGCAUGGCUGUCGUCAGCUCGUGUUGUGAAAUGUUGGGUUAAGUCCCGNAACGAGCGCAACCCUUAUCCUUUGUUGCCAGCGGUUCGGCCGGGAACUCAAAGGAGACUGCCGGUGAUAAACCGGAGGAAGGUGGGGAUGACGUCAAGUCAUCAUGGCCCUUACGGCCAGGGCUACACACGUGCUACAAUGGCGCAUACAAAGAGAAGCGACCUCGCGAGAGCAAGCGGACCUCAUAAGGUGCGUCGUAGUCCGGAUUGGAGUCUGCAACUCGACUCCAUGAAGUCGGAAUCGCUAGUAAUCGUAGAUCAGAAUGCUACGGUGAAUACGUUCCCGGGCCUUGUACACACCGCCCGUCACACCAUGGGAGUGGGUUGCAAAAGAAGUAGGUAGCUUAACCUUCGGGAGGGCGCUUACCACUUUGUGAUUCAUGACUGGGGUGAAGUCGUAACAAGGUAAGCGUAGCGAG